RNAcentral lists this long non-coding RNA (493 nucleotides) under Mus musculus (house mouse). RNAcentral describes it as "predicted gene 13307". The record is from RNAcentral. Lineage: Eukaryota; Metazoa; Chordata; Mammalia; Rodentia; Muridae.
UCAACUCACUCCUCCUCCGCUUCCAGCGCCACCUCGUAUCUCCUCAAUCGCGACAUGUCCAGGCUCUGAACGGUUCCUGUGGAACAGCAUGAUAGGAACACUUAUUCCCGAAGUCGCAAGUCCCCUUCGCCAUCAUUUCCAGGACGAGUCUGAAUAGUCCUCAGUUCUUGAAUGACCUCAGACCAGAUUGAAUGACCUCAGACCAGAAGGAAUAGGCCAGCAGCGAGAACACAGCCUAGAGCAGGCUAAGCUUGCACUGUUGGGUUGAAGUGAGCAUCUUGUAUGUUCCUGAUCUGAAGAAAGCUCAGUCUUUCCUUAUUGACGGACAAGGUACCUUGAGAACUCAAGGAUGUAACAUCCAAGGACUCACUGUGAAGGGAUGGAAAGGUCCCAAACCGUGAAGAAUCUUUUUUGAUGGUUCUCUGCCGUCACUAAUUUCUUUUACUUCUUUUUCAUUCCAGCCCUUGACUUUCAUAAUUAAAUUGAGAACAUC